CUUAACACAUGCAAGUCGAACGGUAAGGCCCUUCGGGGUACACGAGUGGCGAACGGGUGAGUAACACGUGGGGUGAUCUGCCCUGCACUUCGGGAUAAGCCUGGGAAACUGGGGUCUAAUACCGGAUAUGACCUCUGCCUGCAUGGGUGGGGGGUGGAAAGCUUUUGCGGUGUGGGAUGGGCCCCGCGGCCUAUCAGCUUGUUGGUGGGGGUUAAGGCCUACCAAGGCGACGACGGGUAGCCGGCCUGAGAGGGUGUCCGGCCACACUGGGGACUGAGAUACGGCCCCAGACUCC
This 295-nucleotide ribosomal RNA is filed under the name unidentified marine bacterioplankton. Its description in RNAcentral is "partial 16S ribosomal RNA". It matches the Rfam family "Bacterial small subunit ribosomal RNA", at positions 47 to 339 of the family's 1533-position model. The record is from RNAcentral.